AUUGAACGCUGGCGGCAGGCUUAACACAUGCAAGUCGAGCGAGCGGCGGACGGGUGAGUAAUGUCUGGGAAACUGCCUGAUGGAGGGGGAUAACCACUGGAAACGGUAGCUAAUACCGCAUAACAUCAGAUGUGCCCAGAUGGGUUUAGCUAGUAGGUGGGGAAAUGGCCCACCUAGGCGACGAGCCCGAGCUGGUCAGAGAGGAUGACCAGCCACACUGGACCGGAGACACGGUCCAGACUCCUACGGGAGGCGGCAGUGGGGAAUAUUGCACAAUGGGCGCAAGCCUGAUGCAGCCAUGCCGCGUGUGUGAGGAAGCCCUUCGGGUUGUAAAGCACUUUCGGCGAGGAGACGUUACUCGCAGAAGAAGCACCGGCUAACGCCGUGCCAGCAGCCGCGGUAAUAC
RNAcentral lists this ribosomal RNA (406 nucleotides) under uncultured bacterium. RNAcentral's name for it is "partial 16S ribosomal RNA". It matches the Rfam family "Bacterial small subunit ribosomal RNA", at positions 29 to 526 of the family's 1533-position model. The record is from RNAcentral.